Molecule: non-coding RNA, 3625 nt
Organism: Pelodiscus sinensis (Chinese soft-shelled turtle)
Lineage: Eukaryota; Metazoa; Chordata; Testudines; Trionychidae
Source: RefSeq, a predicted model, not a curated record
GAAACUCUUCAGGUCCGAGGAAAAUGCAGUUUUGGGCCUAGCUUCCUGGGAUGCCACUUCCCAAAUGAGAUCAGAACCCUAAAGGAAUUUAGAAAUCCUUUAAUGGACUCCAUAGUAGAGAGGAGUAAGGGAGGGCAGUGAAGCACGUACAAUGGACACAUCGUGCUGUAACAAUGGUUCUUCAAAAGGGGAGUAACUUCCUGUUCUCUUUCAGUGUGUCCCACCCCACCCCACCCCACCAUAGGUGCUCCACUCAGGUGACUAAAAAGCAAUUCCCACAAUGUGGAGAUGGGUCUUUGGAGUCAUCUAUAAGAAAAGGCCAGGACAGUGUCAUGCACAGAUGUGGUAGGUAAUGGUCCUUGCUGUAAAGCAUAGUGUUGUACAAAGGCAUAGGAUGAAGACCAUGUAGCUGCUCUGCAGCAGUCAGCCAGGGAUACAGUUUGUAGAAAUGCAGUCAAUUCAGCCAUCAUUCACGUGGAAUGUGCAAGGACUGUCUGCAGUGAAGCUUUGUUUCAGAGCUGUAGCAGGUAUUUAUGCAGUUUGGUAUCCACUUGGAUAAGUAUUGUGUGGAGACAGCUAUUCCCUUGUGGAGAUCAGACAGAUAUAAAGUGUCUACUGGAUUUUCUAAAAUGCUUAGUCCUGACUAUGUCAAACGCAAGUGCCAUCUUCCAUAGAGGGUGAGUAAUAUUAAUCACUUCUUGGGGAAUCAUGUGGUUUAGGGUAGUAAGUGGGUAGGUAAAUGGGCUGAAUGUGAAAACUAGAAAUGACUUUUGGUAAAAAUUCUAAUGGGGUCUGAGAAUGACCUCAUCCUUGAUGAGGAGCGUAUAAGGUAGAUUUGCCACGAGGGCUGUAAUUACUCCUAUUUGUUGCGUGGAUGUGAUUGUGAUGAGAAAGGACACUGCUAAUGGUUUGAAGGGAGUCUUGUUAGUCAGUCCAGUACAAGGCUGAGAGCCCAUGGUAGAACAAAUGGGCGUAAAUGCGGAUGUGUUUUGGAUAGACCAGCUAAGACCCAUUUGAUGAUCGGAUGAGCACACACAGACGCUUACCAGUUCAUGAAAGACCGAGAUAGCUGAGUGGUAACUCUUAUGGGGCUGAUGGAGAGCCCUGCAUCACUGAGGUCCAUUAACUAUUCCUGAACAGUUGGUACUGGGGAGGUAUGUGCUUGUAGAUGGCACUGAUUGCACCAUUCUUGAAACUGCUUCCAUUUGUUUCAGUAGGUGUGCCUCAGAAGGACAACUACUACUGAAGAGGAUGUGUUUUACUCAGAAGGCAACUAUGCCAUUGUGAAACCAUGAAGAAGCCAGGUGGGCUAUGUCUUGUGAUUGUGCUACCCUCUUAAACAGGUCCUGAAUUUGCUUCAGGUCGUUAGCAGGGGGAGAGAAAGGAAACACAGCCUCAUUGGGGACAAAGACAAUUGUGAGAGUGGAGACUGACAAUCUGACUGAGUGAGGAGAGCACUACUUAAAACUCCCAUUUUCUUCCAAGGAUGGCAGAAAAGGAACUGAGGGGACCCAGGUUAUGCACACAGCUAACAGACGAAACAGCACAAAAUGACAACUGUUCAUGCGUGACUUGGGAAGGCCCUGCAAGGCUAAAAAUCUGAUUGCCGGCACAAGGAUGCACUAACACUUGAGUGGAGCAUACCCAGCGACACCACUCAAAGGAGAACUCUGACCAGUUUGUUUGGACUUGCAAAUUUUAACCUGCCCUUAUCCACAUGUGCAUUCUGAAUCAAAACAUAGCCAUACGUAUAGUAGAUAUACAGCCAGGUCUUACCAGAGUCACUAGUUCAGGGCUGAUCUAGUGAUUCCGAAAUCAAGAAAUAAGCAUCUUAUUCCAGGUUGUCUGUUCUCAGCUUUGAAGUAGAUAUAACAGCAGGCCUUUGACAAGAAUCUUGUGGGAUACUUACCACUAUGUAGAAGUUCUGACACUAUUAAGGAUAAUUACUACAACUGUCCAGUGAAAACAAAUCUUAAUCCCAAAACAUUAAAUAUCCUUUAUUUCAGAAGCCACCUUGGGAAAAAGAUCAGUUUUGAUGGUCACUCAUUUCAGAAACCCCACAGCAAUUCACUAAAACCUCUCUGAAUACCAAAGAGCACAUCAGAGAAGAAUAGAUUCUUUCCCAAGCCCAGAAAUAUAUAUCACAGAACACCUCAAAACUUGCAAGUCAUCAUCUCAGCCAACUGACAAUGCAGGGCUUCCAACAGAUCCUCACAAAGGGAAAUACAAAAGAUGGUGGAUCUCCAUAUUUAGAGGUUAAGACUGAGCUUGACAAAGCCUUGGCUGGAGUUGAUCCUGUUUGGACUAGAUGACUUCCUGAGGUCUGUUCCAACCCUCAACUAUAAAACUCCUGUCUUCAGACCAAAAUCUGGCUCUCCACCGCAUUAUGUGCAACUCCCACUCAACUCAAUCAGUUUGCAGUCAUUGUGAAUAGAAUAAGCAGCACUUAGGCUACAUCUACACUGCACACUGAGAAAGUUUACAACAUUAGACCACAAAAAAGUGUUCCUUUAAACUAGAUCAAAAACAACAAAAAUAUAUUUAAAAAUAUGCAAAUUCUUUAACAGUCUCUCCCUCCGUUUGCUUUUCAUGAGUUCAAGAAAAAUCUUUUCAAGAGUCAAAAUCUGCUAGAGAAACAAGUCUUUCACACCCCUAGUACCUGUUGUCACGUUUUUCAUAUUAAAGCAUUCUGCAGCCCUGUUUAAACACUGUUUAACAGACUCUAGAACAGCAGCAUUUAAUAAAAUUUGUGGAUGACUUAAUUUUAAUAAAUCUUAUAGGUUUGAGGAAACAUCCCCUGCCUUCUUCACUCCCCUCACCCACCAACAGCAACUUUGCCUCUAAAAUGUUUUUUUAAAAUGUCCCAGAUUCACUUUUAAGUUUAAGCCUUUUCACAAGCAAACUACAUGCCCAAAGGAGCAAGUCUGGUCUCAGUCAAAAAAGGCAGAAUAGGAUAUAUUUGGUAGCUGAGCUCUGAAGUCACUAACUAAAGCAGCCAUUGUCUUUAACUUUAAUUACAGAGAGCAGGAUGACAGUUGCCUUUAGACACUGCACAAAGCAUAGUACAGAGUUAGGUAAAUACAAGAAUGAACAAUAUUUUAUUGAUGCCAACUUCCCUUGAGAGAUGAAGCACUUCCUGACAACUUACCCUGUUUAACCUGUGUUACUUGGCUUCUACAGCCCAACAAAUUUCUCUGAAGACUCUAGGAUGUUAGCAUCCUUCUUACUGAAGAAAUUCUGAAGAGACUGAGCAAAUUAGGACAGACACUUAAAAGGCCAAGAAAGUAGGACAUGUGAGGAAAGAUGGGAAAAAAUAACUAGGUUUGUUUAGUAAGAAGAGGAGACCAAGGUGGACAUAACAGUCUUCAAUUUUAUAAAAGCUAUUAUAAAGAGAAGAGUGACAAGUGGUACUCCUUACCCAAUGAGGACAGGACAUGAAGAAAGGGGAUUCAACUGCAGCAUAAGAGAUAAGAUAUUAGGAAAAGAUUUAGGAUGUUAGGAAAAACUAUUUGAGUCUAAGCACUGAAUAAAUCACCUAGAGAGAUUAUGGAAUUUUGCUUAUUAGAGGUUUUCAAGAACAGGUUAGAAAAGUCAUAUGUCAAGGAUAAUCUAGAUAUUACUGAGU